This 48-nucleotide non-coding RNA is filed under the name Schistosoma mattheei. Lineage: Eukaryota; Metazoa; Platyhelminthes; Trematoda; Strigeidida; Schistosomatidae. The record is from RNAcentral.
AUCCAGCUGACCAGUCUCAAAUAGGACGAAAUGCCCAUCAAACUGCAU